UCUACGGGUGGCAGCAGUGAGGAAUAUUGGUCAAUGGCCGAGAGGCUGAACCAGCCAAGUCGCGUGAGGGAAGACGGCCCUACGGGUUGUAAACCUCUUUUGUCGGGGAGCAAAGCGAGUCACGUGUGACUCAUUGAGAGUACCCGAAGAAAAAGCAUCGGCUAACUCCGUGCCAGCAGCCGCGGUAAUACGGAGGAUGCGAGCGUUAUCCGUAUUUAUUGGGUUUAAAGGGUGCGCAGGCGGAGGUGCAAGUCAGCGGUCAAAUUGCGGGGCUCAACCCCGUACUGCCGUUGAAACUGCAUCCCUUGAGUGCGCGAGAAGUAUGCGGAAUGCGUGGUGUAGCGGUGAAAUGCAUAGAUAUCACACAGAACACCGAUUGCGAAGGCAUCUGACGAAUCGGAGAUUGACGCUGAUGCACGAAAGCGUGGGUAUCGAACAGGAUUAGAUACCCGAGUAGUC
Molecule: ribosomal RNA, 459 nt
Filed under: uncultured bacterium
Lineage: Bacteria
Description: partial 16S ribosomal RNA
Rfam family: Bacterial small subunit ribosomal RNA
Source: RNAcentral